UACGUAGGGGGCAAGCGUUGUCCGGAUUUAUUGGGCGUAAAGCGCUCGCAGGUGGUUCGAUGCGUCGUGCGUGAAAGACCCCGGCUCAACUGGGGAGUGUCGUGCGAUACGGUCGGACUGGAGGCCAGUAGGGGGAUGCGGAAUUCCUGGUGUAGCGGUGAAAUGCGCAGAUAUCAGGAAGAACACCCGUGGCUAAGGCGGUUCUCUAGUACGGUACUGACGCUGAGACGCGAAAGCGUGGGGAGCGAACAGG
This 253-nucleotide ribosomal RNA is filed under the name uncultured bacterium. RNAcentral describes it as "partial 16S ribosomal RNA". It matches the Rfam family "Bacterial small subunit ribosomal RNA", at positions 524 to 776 of the family's 1533-position model. The record is from RNAcentral.